UGAAUUCUUUCCAUGAUAUCCUAGUGGUACUACAAUCCGUGGACAUAUUGAUUAAUGUUCUGAUAUUAUUGUGCUACUGUGUUGCCAUCAGUCGAAUGACUGUAGGUAAGAUGAUAGAACUUCUUGGUGGUAAAGCUGGAGUUUCGUGCGGUAGGUUCCAUUAUGGUAGUGCCUUUGGGGAACCAAGUGGCCAUGCAGAUAGGGUGGAAGCGAUAAGUGAAACUCUCGUGAAACAUGGGUUUAGCUACAGCGGCAAGGACUUCAUAUAUUCAGGUAUCACUGGAUGUCCGCUGCAAGCUUAUAUUUUCAUGGGGCCAAUUUACUACCAAAAAUUAAAACACAUGGUUAGAU
Carica papaya (papaya) is the source of this 351-nucleotide non-coding RNA. The record is from RefSeq and is a predicted model, not a curated record. Lineage: Eukaryota; Viridiplantae; Streptophyta; Magnoliopsida; Brassicales; Caricaceae.